Molecule: small RNA, 125 nt
Filed under: Marmota monax (woodchuck)
Lineage: Eukaryota; Metazoa; Chordata; Mammalia; Rodentia; Sciuridae
Source: RNAcentral
GCUGGGUGUGAUGGCACAUGCCUGUAAUCCCUGUGGCUCAGGAAGUUGAGGCAGGAGGAUCACAAGUUCAAAGCCAGCCUCAGCAACUUAGCAAGGCUCUAAGCAACUUAGAGAGCCUGUCUCAA